AGCGAACGCUGGCGGCAGGCUUAACACAUGCAAGUCGAACGCCCCGCAAGGGGAGUGGCAGACGGGUGAGUAACACGUGGGAACGUACCCUUUGGUUCGGAAUAACUUGGGGAAACUCAAGCUAAUACCGGAUAAGCCCUUAUGGGGAAAGGUUUACUGCCGAAGGAUCGGCCCGCGUCUGAUUAGCUAGUUGGUGAGGUAAUGGCUCACCAAGGCGACGAUCAGUAGCUGGUCUGAGAGGAUGAUCAGCCACACUGGGACGGAGACACGGCCCAGACUCCUACGGGAGGCAGCAGUGGGGAAUCUUGGACAAUGGGCGCAAGCCUGAUCCAGCCAUGCCGCGUGAGUGAAGAAGGUCUUCGGAUUGUAAAGCUCUUUUGCCAGGGACGAUAAUGACGGUACCUGGAGAAUAAGCCCCGGCAAACUUCGUGCCAGCCGCCGCAGUAA
Molecule: ribosomal RNA, 447 nt
Filed under: uncultured bacterium
Lineage: Bacteria
Description: partial 16S ribosomal RNA
Rfam family: Bacterial small subunit ribosomal RNA
Source: RNAcentral